AAAAAUUCGUAUUUUCAUAUCGAGCUAAAAUUUUUCUUCAAUAGGUGUAAGAAAUUUAAGUUUCUACAUCAUGAGUUCAGUAUUCUAGGCGGCAAAUCGACAUGUCUCUAUAAAUAUUGAGGUGCUGAUGUAUUUUGAGAUGGAGGCAAUCAGAGAACUUGAGAGGGUUGUGGACAGUGCUUAGCACACAGGUGUCGCACACCACACUACCCAGGGCCUGCCUUGGCUGGUGGCUCUUCUGGACAGCAGGGAACUUUGAGACCACUCCCCGAGGACCCAGGGCGCCCCAAGAGACAGCGGGUUGGAAGCGGGUAGAGUGGACAGAAGUAGAGACGGCGGGAGCUGCGGGUGGCGGCAGCAGCGCCCAGGGUCCGAGGCCCUCGGGUCCUCUGGGCUGCGGGACGCAGAGACUUUGAGGAGGAGCGCGAGCGUCCCCCCGCCCCUCCUGCCUCCACGCGGGGCGCGCCGGGAUCGGGGGCGGGGGGGGGGGUGGUGGUCCGAGAGCGCCCCCCUCUCCCACGCGGGCCUCGCGGGGCGGUGAGUCAAGGCCGGGAGCCGAGCCGCUCUCCCCGGCAGACCCGACCGAGGCGCGGGCGGCGGCGCGCAGGACGGGGAUCCGAGACGCGCUCCCGCCGCCCCAGCUGCGCCGCGCUCCCGGCCACAAGUUUGCCCCGCGUUGGCCAAGUUGCGAGUGGGGAGCCUCUCCGGGCUCCGGGGUGAGCGUCCGUCUUCUCGCUCGGGCUGGUCCGGGCAUGGCCGGGCCGGGAGCCUCGCCCCACGUCUGGGGGUGGCUGCUGCUCGGAGGUUGCCUUCUCGUCGGAGCCCAGCAAAACGGCACAACACAACGAGAGAUCCACAGCAGUGCUGGUCCAACAGAUGUGACUGUGGAAAGACAUGAAGUGAGGAGAAAAUAUCACAUAUUGGAGAGCGCAGAGUGAAGUGCAAAAUGAAUAACCUUGAAUCAGGUUUUCCUAGUCUGUUUAACUUUGGUGAAGCUUUCGCUUCAACAGAAUCUAAAACUGUGUUUUCUAAUUGAAUGGAUGUUGGUACCUCACUGUGUGAGGUAAGAAGACAAGGGACAGCUAAAACAAAGGGCACACUAGGGCUCCGGGGGAUCUGUGAAUGUGAAUGAAGCAGAUGGCCUUGAAACAAGAGGAGCACGUGGUCAGUGGAGAGAUGAGAAAAGCAAAGGAGAAUGGGGCGGAGCACAUGUUCAACUGCACACAUUCAAACUGGACACUUGUCAACGAUUUGUGCUUCUUUUGAGUUCCUGUAUGAUUAGAAGACAGUGAUGUGAUCUGGAAAAUGGAUAAUAAAUUAUUUAGUAACAUCGUAGAAGCGUUCCUA
Molecule: long non-coding RNA, 1347 nt
Filed under: Felis catus (domestic cat)
Lineage: Eukaryota; Metazoa; Chordata; Mammalia; Carnivora; Felidae
Description: lncRNA (ENSFCAG00000046683.2)
Source: RNAcentral